RNAcentral lists this long non-coding RNA (1521 nucleotides) under Homo sapiens (human). Its description in RNAcentral is "HSALNT0218289". Lineage: Eukaryota; Metazoa; Chordata; Mammalia; Primates; Hominidae. The record is from RNAcentral.
GCUUGAUGUAGUUUCCCUAGACAUGUCUUUUUUUCUGGAGACGGAGUUUUGCUCUUGUCGCCCAGGCUGGAGUGCAGUGGUGUGAUCUCGGCUCACUGCAACCUCCGCCUCCCGGGUUCAAGCGAUUGUCCUGCCUCAGCCUCCUGAGUAGCUGGGAUUACAUGCGUGCACCACCAUGCCCGGCUAAUUUUGUAGUUUUAGUAGAGAUGGUGUUUCACCAUGUCGGUCAGGCUGGCCUCGAACUCCUGCCCUCAGAUGGUCCGCCCGCCUUGGCUUCCCAAAGUGCUGGGAUUACAGGCGUGAGCCACCACGCCUGGCUCCCUAGACAUAUCUUGAUGGCCAAAUAUAAGGCAGCAAGGAGGGCUGCUCAAAUCUAGCUUCCCUUUUCCACCCACUGCCGUCUGAGAGAAGAAGGUCAGGAGUGGACACAAGUAUCCCUGGUGCCUGGGAGAAGCAGACUAACCGGACCAGCAAGGAAGAAGACCACUUUCUGAAAAUGACCAUCCUUUGUCAAGAAACAAACACCCGCUUUUCCUCAUUCAGUGAUGUGAAUGAACAAAAUGUCAGGUUAGUUUGUUAGUAGGUGGGUUUUGAAAUGCCAUUUUCUGCUACCUCAUCUUUGUCCAAAUGUAAACCCAAGGACCUUGAGCAUUCAUUCAUUACCAGAGGCUUGAGAUGUCUUUGCCAUUUCUGCUCAUCCAGGAUCCAAGUCCUGGUAUCAGAUUCAUUUCCAUUGCUUUGUGAUUGUUCCCUGACAAUCCCAAUGGAUGCUAGCUGGUUCAGUCCUAAGCCAUUGAAUCUACCCCAAUUUGAAGAUAAGGCCGGGAGCUGUGGCUCACGCCUGUAAUCCCUGCACUCUGGGAGGAUGAGGUGGGUGGAUCACUUGAGGUCAGGAGUUCGAGACCAGCCUGGCCAACAUGGCGAAACUCCAUCUCUACUAAAAAUACAAAAAUUAGCCAGGUGUGGUGGCGUGCGCCUGUAGCUCCAGCUUUUGGGAGGCUGAGGCAGAAGAAUUGCUUGAAUCUGGGAGGCAGAGCUCACAGAGAGCCGAGAUCAUGCCACUGCACUCCAGCUGGGCAACAGAGUGAGACUCCAUCUCAAAAAAUUAAAAAAAAAAGAUAGUAUGGAAUCUGUCUGGGAUUUAUUGACUUUCUGCAGGUAGAUGAGUCAAAGAAGAGGCUGUGAUACCUGUAAGAAGACCUGCAGAGGCAACUUAAGAUAAGCUAGCUGUCCCCGAAAGGUGGAUUUGAAAAAACUCAACCUCGUCUACAUCAUAUGACAGUAGAUGUGUUUACCAAAAGACAAAUGCAAAAUGAAUUCUGAAAAAUCAAAUAAAACUAAAGCACAAAGGAUACCUUUGCAGCAAAGAUUCCUCAUGAAUGUGAUUGCUCUACUUUGUAUGUACGUAAUUUUGUUUGUCAAACUUUAUCAAGCAAUGCAUACUAAAAGUGUAUACUUAGAGUAUACUAUAAACUCUAACAGUCAAUUUCUAUAUGUUGGAAGAAAUGUGUCAACAUAAAU